Molecule: ribosomal RNA, 453 nt
Filed under: uncultured Psychrobacter sp.
Lineage: Bacteria; Pseudomonadati; Pseudomonadota; Gammaproteobacteria; Moraxellales; Moraxellaceae
Description: bacterial SSU rRNA
Rfam family: Bacterial small subunit ribosomal RNA
Source: RNAcentral
CGGUGGAGCAUGUGGUUUAAUUCGAUGCAACGCGAAGAACCUUACCUGGUCUUGACAUAUCUAGAAUCCUGCAGAGAUGCGGGAGUGCCUUCGGGAAUUAGAAUACAGGUGCUGCAUGGCUGUCGUCAGCUCGUGUCGUGAGAUGUUGGGUUAAGUCCCGCAACGAGCGCAGCCCUUGUCCUUAGUUACCAGCGGGUUAAGCCGGGAACUCUAAGGAUACUGCCAGUGACAAACUGGAGGAAGGCGGGGACGACGUCAAGUCAUCAUGGCCCUUACGACCAGGGCUACACACGUGCUACAAUGGUAGGUACAGAGGGCAGCUACACAGCGAUGUGAUGCGAAUCUCAAAAAGCCUAUCGUAGUCCAGAUUGGAGUCUGCAACUCGACUCCAUGAAGUAGGAAUCGCUAGUAAUCGCGGAUCAGAAUGCCGCGGUGAAUACGUUCCCGGGCCUU